Molecule: ribosomal RNA, 253 nt
Filed under: uncultured bacterium
Lineage: Bacteria
Description: partial 16S ribosomal RNA
Rfam family: Bacterial small subunit ribosomal RNA
Source: RNAcentral
GACGUAGGGCGCGAGCGUUGUCCGGAUUUAUUGGGCGUAAAGAGCUCGUAGGCGGCUCAUUGCGUCAACCGUGAAAACCAGCAGCUCAACUGUUGGCUUGCGGUUGAUACGGGUGGGCUGGAGUUCGGUAGGGGAGACUGGAAUUCCUGGUGUAGCGGUGAAAUGCGCAGAUAUCAGGAGGAACACCGGUGGCGAAGGCGGCGUUCUGGACUGCUACUGACACUGAGGAACGAAAGCCAGGGGAGCAAACGGG